GGAAAACUGUCUUUUUUGUUUAAAUUGAAUUUAACAUUUGUGUGAAAAGGCAUUAAUGGUUCGGGGGGACGAUAAGACCCUAUAAAAUUUAACAUGUUGAUAUUAUUUGUUAGAAUUGUUAAAUAAUGAUCAAUUGAUUAAUAAUGUUUUGCUGGGGCGGCAUGAAUAUAAUUCUAACUGUUUUUUAUAUUUAAUAUAUAUGAAUAGAUUGUGG
RNAcentral lists this ribosomal RNA (214 nucleotides) under Synalpheus bannerorum. RNAcentral describes it as "partial 16S ribosomal RNA". Lineage: Eukaryota; Metazoa; Arthropoda; Malacostraca; Decapoda; Alpheidae. The record is from RNAcentral.